CUUGGUCAUUUAGAGGAAGUAAAAGUCGUAACAAGGUUUCCGUAGGUGAACCUGCGGAAGGAUCAUUAUCUAUUCCAUGAGGUGCGGUCGCGGCCCUCGGCGGGAGCAACAGCUACCGUCGGGCGGUAGAGGUAACACUUUCACGCGCCGCAUGUCUGAAUCCUUUUUUUACGAGCACCUUUCGUUCUCCUUCGGCGGGGCAACCUGCCGUUGGAACCUAUCAAAACCUUUUUUUGCAUCUAGCAUUACCUGUUCUGAUACAAACAAUCGUUACAACUUUCAACAAUGGAUCUCUUGGCUCUGGCAUCGAUGAAGAACGCAGCGAAAUGCGAUAAGUAGUGUGAAUUGCAGAAUUCAGUGAAUCAUCGAAUCUUUGAACGCACAUUGCGCCCCUUGGUAUUCCAUGGGGCAUGCCUGUUCGAGCGUCAUCUACACCCUCAAGCUCUGCUUGGUGUUGGGCGUCUGUCCCGCCUCUGCGCGCGGACUCGCCCCAAAUUCAUUGGCAGCGGUCCUUGCCUCCUCUCGCGCAGCACAUUGCGCUUCUCGAGGUGCGCGGCCCGCGUCCACGAAGCAACAUUAUCGUCUUUGACCUCGGAUCAGGUAGGGAUACCCGCUGAACUUAAGCAUAUCAAUAAGCGG
This 639-nucleotide ribosomal RNA is filed under the name uncultured fungus. RNAcentral's name for it is "eukaryotic LSU rRNA". The stretch from base 275 to 428 matches the Rfam family "5.8S ribosomal RNA". Lineage: Eukaryota; Fungi. The record is from RNAcentral.